This 416-nucleotide ribosomal RNA is filed under the name Lactobacillus delbrueckii subsp. bulgaricus. Its description in RNAcentral is "partial 23S ribosomal RNA". It matches the Rfam family "Bacterial large subunit ribosomal RNA", at positions 567 to 983 of the family's 2925-position model. Lineage: Bacteria; Bacillati; Bacillota; Bacilli; Lactobacillales; Lactobacillaceae. The record is from RNAcentral.
CAAGUAGUCAGAGCCCGUUAACGGGUAAUGGCGUGCCUUUUGUAGAAUGAACCGGCGAGUUGCGUUAGUCAGCAAGGUUAAGUCAGAAAAGACGGAGCCGUAGCGAAAGCGAGUCUGAAGAGGGCGAGCAGUUGGCUGACGCAGACCCGAAACCAAGUGACCUACCCAUGACCAGGUUGAAGGCGCGGUAAAACGCGCUGGAGGACCGAACCCACGUAAGUUGAAAAUUGCGGGGAUGAGUUGUGGGUAGCGGUGAAAUUCCAAACGAACUUGGAGAUAGCUGGUUCUCUCCGAAAUAGCUUUAGGGCUAGCCUCGCAAAGAGGAUGCUGGAGGUAGAGCUCUGUUUGGACUAGGGGCCCGUCAAGGGUUACUGAAUUCAGAUAAACUGCGAAUUCCAGACAUUUAUGUGCGGGAG